UGGGGAAUAUUGGACAAUGGACCAAGAGUCUGAUCCAGCAAUUCUGUGUGCACGAUGAAGUUUUUCGGAAUGUAAAGUGCUUUCAGUUGGGAAGAAAGAAAUGACGGUACCAACAGAAGAAGUGACGGCUAAAUACGUGCCAGCAGCCGCGGUAAUACGUAUGUCACGAGCGUUAUCCGGAUUUAUUGGGCGUAAAGCGCGUCUAGGUGGUUAUGUAAGUCUGAUGUGAAAAUGAAGGGCUCAACUCUGUAUUGCGUUAGAAACUGUAUAACUAGAGUACUGCAGAGGUAAGCGGAACUACAAGUGUAGAGGUGAAAUUCGUAAAUAUUUGUAGGAAUGACGAUGGGGCAGCCAGCUUACUGGACAGAUACUGACGCUGAAGCGCGAAAGCGUGAGUAGCAAACAGG
Molecule: ribosomal RNA, 407 nt
Filed under: Verrucomicrobiota bacterium
Lineage: Bacteria; Pseudomonadati; Verrucomicrobiota
Description: Verrucomicrobia bacterium partial 16S ribosomal RNA
Rfam family: Bacterial small subunit ribosomal RNA
Source: RNAcentral